Molecule: transfer RNA, 77 nt
Filed under: Candidatus Bathyarchaeota archaeon
Lineage: Archaea; Thermoproteati; Candidatus Bathyarchaeota
Description: tRNA-Met
Rfam family: tRNA
About the family: Transfer RNA (tRNA) molecules are approximately 80 nucleotides in length. Their secondary structure includes four short double-helical elements and three loops (D, anti-codon, and T loops).
Source: RNAcentral
AGUUGGAUGGGGCAGCCGGGUCAGCCCGUGAGGUUCAUGACCCCAAGGUCGGUAGUUCAAAUCUACCCCCGCUACCA